RNAcentral lists this ribosomal RNA (643 nucleotides) under uncultured Bacteroidota bacterium. Its description in RNAcentral is "bacterial SSU rRNA". It matches the Rfam family "Bacterial small subunit ribosomal RNA", at positions 138 to 776 of the family's 1533-position model. Lineage: Bacteria; Pseudomonadati; Bacteroidota. The record is from RNAcentral.
GGAGCAUACCCUGGAAACGAGGAUUAAUACUCCAUGGCUAUCAUGAAUUCGCAUGUUUUCAUGAUUAAAGAAUUUCGGUAUGAGAUGGGCAUGCGUCCCAUUAGCUAGGUUUGGUGAAGGGGUUUUAACGGCCCUCCACCAAGGCGACGAUGGGUAGGGGGCCUGAGAGGGUGGUCCCCCACACUGGUACUGAGACACGGACCAGACUCCUACGGGCAAGGCAGCAGUGAGGAAUAUUGGUCAAUGGAGGCAACUCUGAACCAGCCAUGCCGCGUGAAGGAUGACGGCCCUAUGGGUUGUAAACUUCUUUUAUAUGGGAAGAAACUUAUCUACGUGUAGAUCACUGACGGUACCAUACGAAUAAGGAUCGGCUAACUCCGUGCCAGCAGCCGCGGUAAUACGGAGGAUCCAAGCGUUAUCCGGAUUCAUUGGGUUUAAAGGGUCCGUACGCGGAUUUUUAAGUCAGUGGUGAAAGCCGACAGCUCAACUGUCGAACUGGCAUUGAUACUGGAAAUCUUGAGUACAAAUGAAGUAAGCGGAAUGAGUCAUGUAGCGGUGAAAUGGCUAGAUUUGACUCAGAACACCAUUGCAAAGCAGGUUUCUAACUGUAAUGACGCCAGGGCGAAACCUGGGGAACAACAGG